This 506-nucleotide ribosomal RNA is filed under the name uncultured bacterium. Its description in RNAcentral is "partial 16S ribosomal RNA". It matches the Rfam family "Bacterial small subunit ribosomal RNA", at positions 30 to 523 of the family's 1533-position model. The record is from RNAcentral.
AUUGAACGCUAACGGCGUGCUUAACACAUGCAAGUCGAGCGGCAGCAUGACUGUAGCAAUACAGUUGAUGGCGAGCGGCGGACGGGUGAGUAAUGCAUAGGAAUCUGCCUUGUAGUGGGGGAUAACCCGGGGAAACUCGGGCUAAUACCGCAUAAUCUCUACGGAGCAAAGUGGGGGACCUUCGGGCCCUACGCUAAAAGAUGAGCCUAUGUUGGAUUAGCUAGUUGGUAGGGUAAAGGCCUACCAAGGCAACGAUCCAUAGCUGGUCUGAGAGGAUGAUCAGCCACACUGGGACUGAGACACGGCCCAGACUCCUACGGGAGGCAGCAGUGGGGAAUAUUGGACAAUGGGCGAAAGCCUGAUCCAGCAACGCCGUGUGUGUGAAGAGGGCCUUCGGGUUGUAAAGCACUUUUAGUGGGGAAGAAAAGUUCACGGCUAAUAUCCAUGAAUGCUGACGUUACCCACAGAAAAAGCACUGGCUAACUCUGUGCCAGCAGCCGCGGUAA